CUGACGUUUUAUGGCAACCUGGAGUCCUACUGUGUACAUUAACGGCUGAACUUGUAUACCCCCAGUUUGCUUGGUCAUUGGACGCAGGCUUCACUGAUAAGGGUACGGCUGCGGGUGAAGCAGUUCUAGGCAGAUAAGGCUGACCCUGAAGUUGCUGUCAGCUGGAGGCUCACAGAGCACGAGCACAGCACAGAAUGUGCUGACCACAUUCCUCUCAGCUGAGCAGCAAGGCCAGUCUUGAAGAAGGACCUGGGCAGUGUAUUGCUAUGUUCACCACAGGCCGGUGCUGAGAAACUUGGGGAAGUCCCGUCCGUCGCCCUGCCAAACGAGGAUGGACAGGUAGCAGCUCUCCUAAGAAGCAGUCAUCCUAGAGCACGCCUGUUCUGGAGAGAGUGGCUCUCGCUCAGUGGAUCAGGUUCAUUCCUUGGGCUUCCUCAAGUUCUGAUGUGUUGUGUUGGAUAAGCAGUUGGACUUACAUCCCAUCUUCACCAAUAUCCCGAGAAGAGCUUCCUAAUCACAAAAUAGAUCCAAAAACACAAGGUUUGACAUGCAGCACUGGGAGUCUAUCAGUGAACAAGCUACGUAUUGUCUCUGCCUUCAUGGAGAUUCCCACCUAUUAUGGGAGACAUACAUCUAAAAAAUAUCAUGGAACUGGCCAAGUUAAUGGAUACCUUGAAUGAUUGCAUCAAGUACAAAGGAUUGGGACAAGUGGACUGAGAUGAAAUUUGACGGAAAUAAAGUGUGCAUCAUAAUUACUUGGAAAGCUUGUGAAAUGAAGAAUCUCAAGACUUGCCGACAGUUUCUGGUUUGUCUGGAGCCCGGGAAUCUGCAUUUUAACAAGAAACAAGUUCAUAGUCAUACUGGUGUUGAAGGGCUGUUUCUCCCAGGUAUUGGGGCCUGUGGAAGUUGCCUGAAGAUGGGCCAUAGGCACAAAAUGAAGUCCCAUAAGCAGAAAGAAAGAACAUUUCAGAGGGAACUAGGGAACGUGGUCAGAGAGGUGCGCAAUGAGCAAAACAAAAAGGACACUAAUGAGAUGUGGGAGAAAGCGUGUUAAAAGCUGAAGCGAGAGCUAGAGAGAGUCUUUUUAGCUUAUAACAUCCAGAUUUGCCUGUUGAGAUGAAAUAGAAGACAGGAAAAGGAGAAGAAAUAGAAGAUGACCAAGUUGCUGUUAAAGCAUUUAUUAAAUUAGCCCACACUUCUAGCUAAAUUCCCUGGUCAUUUGAUCAGUCUUAUGUCCCAACAUUUCUCUUUGAGAUACUUAUUGCACCAUAGCAAAAUCAUAAGAAAGUCCUAUCAGAAAUAAAUGACUGAUUGAAUUCAUUGCCCUUAUUCUCAGAAGUUCUACUGAGGUGCCUACCUUCUGUAGAGAGGAAGAUGGAAUUUCAGAGGAGCUGAAAGGAAAUCACAUUCAGAAGAGAUAGGAUCUAAAAUCGCCAGUAGAAAGAUGGAAGCCUGUUAUUCCCUGCCUCAGGAAAGAAAACAUCAAAACUUCAAAGUUCAAGUGCCUAUUUUAAGAGUUUAGAGUUCAAAAUGGCAUCUGGUUAGCCACUGGUGAUUACAAAAUUUCUAUGUAUGGAAGGCUUGGAGGCAGCAAUAGGGUUGGAAGGAAGCCUGAAGUUGGGUUUGCAUAGCAUUUUACAUUAAGUUUGAGAAAGUCAGCUGUUCAUCUCAAAGGAUAAAGGGUGAUGGGGAUUAUUGGUGGUGGCUUAGGGGUGGCUAAAACCAUCCCAGACCCUUUUUUGGUGUGCCAACAAUGAGGCUACUACUCCCUGAGGCAGGCUCACACAAUAUCUCACUAAAACAUCUAUAAAACCACAGGAAAAAUGAAAACAUGAGUCUUAAAGAGACUAAUAAACUGUUGCCUAUGUUCUGGAGGGGACUGGACUGAAUAUGAAGACCUUAAAAUAACCUCUGCACACCCUCCCACCUGAAAUGAAGGAAGGUGGACGUCCCCACCCCUGCAGCCUCUUCGUUUCAAAGCAGACACUUGCUGGUCUACCAAUCCACUCAGUGCCCUUGGGCCAUCCUCGUGAAGGCAUCGGGGAACAUCUGGAUCCCCCCCAUGGCACACGCACGCAUGGGAUGCCAUCUCUGCGCCGCCUCCCUUUGCCAAUGCUGCAUUAUAUCUCUCACCCAGUGUUAAACAUCACAUUGAGCCACUAUAGAUAGGGCUUCUCUAGACCCAGGCGAGCAGUCCACUAACUCCAAGAUCCUCAUUUUCCCUAACACAUUUUCUAGAUGUUUUUUAUUGACCUCCAUGCUAAGGGGAGGAAAGUGAGAUCACUGGGACCUGACUUUAUCCUCUCUCUUCUUUUUCUUCAAACUCCACUAGAAAAAGAACAGAUGGACUGUCAUUCCUUUCUGUGUGACAGGGUUUGCUUACUGAGUUCUCUCUGCUUUAUAUGUGUAGCGGAACUCUAUGAUCAAGUCAGCAGUCACGUGAGAGCUUAGGGAAUUUAGAAACUCCUUUUCUCUCUGGGCAAAGGCCCUUGACAGUCAGAAGCUGACCAUUAAAUGCUUUCUUUCUCUUGCAUUCCUGCUGUUAACAGUCCUAAUUACCCCUGACCCUUAUCCAAGUCAGAUGGAGGGUCAAAAAAGGAAAACCAUACUAAAAUAUUUCCGAAAAUAUUUUUCAUAUUACACAGACAUUCCCCCAGUUUGUCAUUGUUUUGAGCGUUGCUUGUUUUUAUUUAUAGCCAUUUUUAAUUGUUAUGUGAUUCCCUUAUUGAAUAAGGGAGCAGACUGCCGCCUCAGGACUGUCGCACUUAGCUUCCCUUCAAUCUGCAAUGCUCACCCUCACCCCAUCUUCAUCUCCUUAUCUGCUCUCCUCAGGUCUCUGUUCAAAUGCCAUCCUUACAAAAGGUCUUUCCUGACCAUUCCAUCUCAAAUAAGCACUCCCCUAAUUACUUUGCAUUCACUUUUCUCUAAUCUUCUUCAUAGCACUUAUUACCACCUGACGUAUUAUUUGUUUAUUGGUUGAUUUUGUCUCCUCCCAUUGGAAUGUAAGCUCCUUGAAGGAGAGGUAUAUUUUGUUAACUGUCAUAUCCCCAAGGUCUAAACUUGGACUUUUCUGCAUUUAUUAAGAUGUAUCUUUUUCCUCCUUUGACCUCAUUUUGGGAUGACUUAUGAAUAAAAUUACAAAUCAUUUUUAAAUUCCUAGAAGUAAUUUUAUGUAGUUAUUUUGAAAACGUAUAAUAUUGCCAUCUGUUUUAUAAUGUUGCUUUUAGAAUAUUUUCAUCUAUAUUUAUAAGUCAAUUGAUUUGUACUCUCUUUUACUGUAUUAAAAUCUGUAUUAAAAUC
Long non-coding RNA from Equus caballus (horse), 3300 nucleotides. NCBI's taxonomy places the organism in Eukaryota, Metazoa, Chordata, Mammalia, Perissodactyla, Equidae. The record is from Ensembl.